UACGGAGGGUGCAAGCGUUGUUCGGAAUUAUUGGGCGUAAAGCGGGUGCAGGCGGUGAAGUAAGUCAGAUGUGAAAUCCCAGGGCCCAACCCUGGAACUGCAUCCGAUACUGCUUCACUAGAGUCUCGGAGAGGAAAGCGGAAUUCCCGGUGUAGAGGUGAAAUUCGUAGAUAUCGGGAGGAACACCAGUGGCGAAGGCGGCUUUCUGGACGAUGACUGACGCUCAGACCCGAAAGCGUGGGGAGCAAACAGG
RNAcentral lists this ribosomal RNA (253 nucleotides) under uncultured bacterium. Its description in RNAcentral is "partial 16S ribosomal RNA". It matches the Rfam family "Bacterial small subunit ribosomal RNA", at positions 524 to 776 of the family's 1533-position model. The record is from RNAcentral.